Molecule: transfer RNA, 66 nt
Filed under: Hemiphyllodactylus pinlaungensis (Pinlaung slender gecko)
Lineage: Eukaryota; Metazoa; Chordata; Lepidosauria; Squamata; Gekkonidae
Description: tRNA-Cys
Source: RNAcentral
AGCCUCAGAGGUGAAAUACGCCAAAUUGCAAAUUUGGAGAAGCUCCCCCAAAGGGAGCCGGGGCUU